This 263-nucleotide unclassified non-coding RNA is filed under the name uncultured Glomus. RNAcentral describes it as "sequence contains 18S rRNA gene". It matches the Rfam family "Eukaryotic small subunit ribosomal RNA", at positions 569 to 840 of the family's 1831-position model. The record is from RNAcentral. Lineage: Eukaryota; Fungi; Glomeromycota; Glomeromycetes; Glomerales; Glomeraceae.
AGCAGCCGCGGUAAUUCCAGCUCCAAUAGCGUAUAUUAAAGUUGUUGCAGUUAAAAGCUCGUAGUUGAAUUUCGGGAUCAAUUAAUCGGUCGUGCCUCUGGUACGCACUGGUUUUAUUGGUUUCUCCCUUCUGACGAACCAGGAUGUCAUUAAUUUGGUGUCUUGGAGAAUCAGGACUGUUACUUUGAAAAAUUGAGUGUUUAAAGCAGGCUAACGCUUGAAUACAUUAGCAUGGAAUAAUGAAAUAGGACGUUUGAUCCUAU